Molecule: ribosomal RNA, 114 nt
Filed under: Acanthosepion pharaonis
Lineage: Eukaryota; Metazoa; Mollusca; Cephalopoda; Sepiida; Sepiidae
Source: RNAcentral
UUAUGGCCACAUCAUGUUGAAACACUGGUUCCCAUGAGAUCACCGAAGUUAAACAACAUCGAGCCAGGACAGUACCUAGAUGGGUGACUGCUUGGGAAUACCAGGUACUGUAAG